UACGUAGGGGGCUAGCGUUGUCCGGAAUCAUUGGGCGUAAAGCGCGUGUAGGCGGUCCGGUAAGUCCGCUGUGAAAGUCGGGGGCUCAACCCUCGAAUGCCGGUGGAUACUGUCGGGCUAGAGUGCGGAAGAGGCGAGUGGAAUUCCAGGUGUAGCGGUGAAAUGCGUAGAUAUCUGGAGGAACACCGGUGGCGAAGGCGGCAGCCUGGACCGGCAUUGACGCUGAGGCGCGAAAGCCAGGGGAGCAAACGGG
RNAcentral lists this ribosomal RNA (253 nucleotides) under uncultured bacterium. Its description in RNAcentral is "partial 16S ribosomal RNA". It matches the Rfam family "Bacterial small subunit ribosomal RNA", at positions 524 to 776 of the family's 1533-position model. The record is from RNAcentral.